This 157-nucleotide non-coding RNA is filed under the name Henriciella barbarensis. Its description in RNAcentral is "6S RNA". It matches the Rfam family "6S / SsrS RNA". From Rfam's summary of the family: E. coli 6S RNA was the first non coding RNA to be sequenced, but its function was unknown until recently. Lineage: Bacteria; Pseudomonadati; Pseudomonadota; Alphaproteobacteria; Hyphomonadales; Hyphomonadaceae. The record is from RNAcentral.
CAAGGGCUGCGGCGUUCGAGGAAGCCAGCUGUCCGCCGACCUUACGUUCCGUCAAGGGAGCUGGCGCUGGGACUGGCCGUGGCCUAUCCUAACCGGCACCCACCUAGUUACUAGGUCGACGGGACACGAGCGCCGAGACGGCGCAUGCGGUCCUUGU